Molecule: long non-coding RNA, 1724 nt
Organism: Mesocricetus auratus (golden hamster)
Lineage: Eukaryota; Metazoa; Chordata; Mammalia; Rodentia; Cricetidae
Exons: 2
Source: RefSeq, a predicted model, not a curated record
AGCUGAUAAUAACAGAGGAGGGUGCUAGAGAGAUGGCUCAGUGGAUUUAAAGUACUUGAUGCUCUCUGAGAGGACCUUGGUUUCAGUCUCUGCACCCACUUUGGGUGUCUCACAACAGCCUAUAACUCUAGCUCCAGGAGAUCCAAGCCCUUCUUCUGGCUUUUGUGGGCAACACCCACAUUUGUGGGCGCGCGUGCACACACACACACACACACUAAAUAAAUAAAUAAAUAAAUAAAAUUAAAACAGAACAAUUAAACAUCAUGCUAAUGUUAAUGCAUCCAUAGUAAUAAAAGUAAACAUGCAAACAUAGUCUCUGAGCAUUUCUGAUUGUAUUACCUCGCCUUCUUGUGACAGUGUGAUGUGGCACAACAACUCUGUGAUGAAAGCCACUCAAUUAAUGAAAUCUGCCAGGUGAGUAACAGCCACAGAGCACCAGGUUACUCUGUGAGGGUCAUUUGAACAGUUGAUCCGAUUAUCACACGGCAGAUGUUUAGUGUAUACAGCAGGAUGGUCUGGACAGAGGGGUGACUCACAUCCUGGGUGGGACUGAAUGGCCCAGAUGUGAGAUGUCAUUUGGUUAGUCAGCAUUUAAAACAUGUAACUUCUUUGUUCCUAGAAUUUCCACUUCGUAUUUUUGGAUGUAUUUGAGCAAGAUAACGGAAACCGUGGAAGGAUGCGCUUGGACAUAGCUGCCGUCCUGCAGGGCUUUGCUUACUCAGGACAGCAAGGAUGGCAGAAACAUGUUGCAGUAACAGACAUGUCUCCAAAAAAGGAAACUGGAGAGCAACCAGGGGUCACUCAGCUCUAUAUAACAACUUUCUCCAGAACAGUAUUUCCUGCUUACGGCUGCACCCCUAAUACCCAGCUGCUGAAUCUACCUGAUGUUUUAGUUACUUCUCAGUUGCUGUGAUGAAACACUACGAUCAAGACAACUUGCAGAAGAGUUUAUUUGGAUCUUACAGUUUCAUAGGGUGAGACCAUGACCAUCCUAGUGGGGAGCAUGGCAGCAGGCGGGCAUGGCACUGGAGCAGUAGCUGAGAGUUUACAUCCUUACCGACAACCAGGAAGCAGAAAGGUGUGGGCUUUUGAAACCUCAGAGCCCACUCCAGUAACACAGCUCAAAGCCACAGCUAAUCCUUCCUGAGCAGUUCCACCAACUUCAGACCAAGCAUUCAAAUGUUGUGAAAUAAUCCUUCUGUACAUUGUGAAGAUGUGUUGCUCUCAUUGUUAAUACAAAGCUGGCUGGCAGAUAGCUAGGCAGGAUUUGGAGGGGUCAAGAGAGAAUGUUGGGAAGAAGAGGAGUGGAGGCUGAGGGUCGCAAGCCAGAUGUGGAAGAAGCAACAUGGGAAGUUCAUAGAUGAGGCAGGUAAACUGUAGAGGCUCAUACAGAUGACUCCACUCCAUCUUGACUAAAGGUCAGAGAGUCCAAAACUGUCCUUAGUAAGUCAUAAGACCUAAAGGUCAAAGGCGUGGCCACAGUAGGAUUGUUUGACCUUGGCCUUGGGUGUCCUAUCUAAAUGACAACAGACUUGGUCUGAGGUGUGGUUACUUCUGACCCUCAAGGCCAGAUAAUGAGAAAUUAAAUGUAAGGUGUGGUUACCGAAUCCUUGGAGAAUUGAGGAAGAAAUGUCUGUUUGUUCCGUAUACAUGAUACCAUGUUUCCCUUUUUGGUUAAGGUAUUUAAGAAGGAUGAAAAAUAAACUUGUAGCAUUCAGUAGUGA